UGCAUGAGUGGUGUUUGGUUUGAUACGGGUGGUCGGCUCCCUGCUUGAGCAGGCACGGCCACGCGUGCAUUCCUUUUCAGUUGUCCGGCAAGGCUUGUAUUGUCUUGAUCGUAUAAGUGGGUUUCUUGUGUUGCAUACCUGAUCAAUGGCAUCGUUUUGAUCAAAAGUGUAUCUUUUUCGUCURGCAAUGCACCCGCAUUGUCGGAUGAACCGAGCAGCAUCCUCUUUGAUCCAUAAAGUUGACGUGUAUUCGUUGAUUGUUUGGCCCGUUGAGGAUGGCUUGGUCUCUUGGAUAUGGAAGCCAAAGUGGGCAUGGGUUCGUAAGAUCCUUUUACUGCCCUCAUUGAGCGUUCUCGCUUCUCUUACACGACUGCCUUUCACGUAUGGCACGUCCCAGCGUGUUUGGCUACGUCGAAGAGGAAUGCUAC
RNAcentral lists this unclassified non-coding RNA (428 nucleotides) under Chrysothamnus greenei. RNAcentral describes it as "partial external transcribed spacer". The record is from RNAcentral. Lineage: Eukaryota; Viridiplantae; Streptophyta; Magnoliopsida; Asterales; Asteraceae.